UAAAAUAACCGAUCUUAAAAGUACUUUUAAGAUCGAUUAUUUUAUGACUGAUUUUAAAAGUGCUACUUUUAAAAUCGGUUAUUUAA
This 86-nucleotide microRNA precursor is filed under the name Cajanus cajan (pigeon pea). RNAcentral describes it as "miRNA gene-KK1_046483". The record is from RNAcentral. Lineage: Eukaryota; Viridiplantae; Streptophyta; Magnoliopsida; Fabales; Fabaceae.